CCACCCUACGGGGCGCAGCAGUGGGGAAUAUUGCACAAUGGGGGAAACCCUGAUGCAGCGACGCCGCGUGAGUGAAGAAGUAUUUCGGUAUGUAAAGCUCUAUCAGCAGGGAAGAAAAUGACGGUACCUGAUUAAGAAGCCCCGGCUAACUACGUGCCAGCAGCCGCGGUAAUACGUAGGGGGCAAGCGUUAUCCGGAUUUACUGGGUGUAAAGGGAGCGUAGACGGCGAUGCAAGCCAGAUGUGAAAGCCCGCGGCUCAACUGCGGUAGUGCAUUUGGAACUGUAUGGCUGGAGUGCAGGAGAG
RNAcentral lists this ribosomal RNA (305 nucleotides) under uncultured bacterium. RNAcentral's name for it is "bacterial SSU rRNA". It matches the Rfam family "Bacterial small subunit ribosomal RNA", at positions 334 to 656 of the family's 1533-position model. The record is from RNAcentral.